RNAcentral lists this non-coding RNA (223 nucleotides) under Lysobacter antibioticus. The record is from RNAcentral. Lineage: Bacteria; Pseudomonadati; Pseudomonadota; Gammaproteobacteria; Lysobacterales; Lysobacteraceae.
CACUAUGUUGUGCCCGUCGGUGCCGAUCGCGAGAUUGGCUCAAUAGGGAAGCCGGUAAGGACGCAGCCAGCGCGACGUCCAAAGCCGGCGCUGCCCCGCAGCGGUAUGGGAAACGAACGCUACCAAGCACUGGACGCGCCUCGCGUCUGGGAAGCGGUAGCCAGUAGGAGACGCGAGUCGUCGUGUCCCGAGCCCGAAGACCUGCCGACAGCCGCGCGUUGCA